CCCGCACAAGCGGUGAGCAUGUGGUUUAAUUCGACGCAACGCGAAGAACCUUACCUACUCUUGACAUCUACAGAAGAACGCAGAGAUGUGUCUGUGCCUUCGGGAACUGUAAGACAGGUGCUGCAUGGCUGUCGUCAGCUCGUGUCGUGAGAUGUUGGGUUAAGUCCCGCAACGAGCGCAACCCUUGUCAUUAGUUGCUACAUUCAGUUGGGCACUCUAAUGAGACUGCCGGUGACAAACCGGAGGAAGGUGGGGAUGACGUCAAGUCCUCAUGGCCCUUAUAGGUGGGGCUACACACGUCAUACAAUGGAUGGUACAAAGGGUCGCCAACCCGCGAGGGGGAGCCAAUCCCAUAAAGCCAUUCGUAGUCCGGAUCGCAGUCUGCAACUCGACUGCGUGAAGUCGGAAUCGCUAGUAAUCGUGGAUCAGAAUGUCACGGUGAAUACGUUCCCGGGUCUU
Molecule: ribosomal RNA, 459 nt
Filed under: uncultured Acidovorax sp.
Lineage: Bacteria; Pseudomonadati; Pseudomonadota; Betaproteobacteria; Burkholderiales; Comamonadaceae
Description: bacterial SSU rRNA
Rfam family: Bacterial small subunit ribosomal RNA
Source: RNAcentral